Molecule: ribosomal RNA, 426 nt
Filed under: uncultured prokaryote
Description: bacterial SSU rRNA
Rfam family: Bacterial small subunit ribosomal RNA
Source: RNAcentral
UGGGGAAUUUUCGGCAAUGGGGGAAACCCUGACCGAGCCAUGCCGCGUGAAGGACGACAGCCUUAGGGUUGUAAACUUCUGUGGAGAGUUACUAAUUUUGAAGAGCUUUCUAGAAAGGGGUUGCUAACUCUGUGCCAGCAGCAGCGGUAAUACAGAGACCCCAAGCGUUAUCCGGUUUCAUUGGGCGUAAAGCGUUCCGAUCGGUGGUUUCGUGUGUCUAGGGUGAAAGACCGCAGCUUAACUGCGUGUUUGCUCUGGAAACUGCGUUACUCGAGUCAUUAAGAGGUAGCUGGAACUCUACAAGUAGGGGUGAAAUCCGUUGAUAUGUAGGGGAACAUCAAAAGCGAAGGCAGGCUACUGGGAAUGUACUGACACUGCUAGGACGAAAGCGUGGGGAGCGAUACGGAUUAGAUACCCCCGUAGUCC